RNAcentral lists this ribosomal RNA (394 nucleotides) under uncultured bacterium. RNAcentral describes it as "partial 16S ribosomal RNA". It matches the Rfam family "Bacterial small subunit ribosomal RNA", at positions 523 to 918 of the family's 1533-position model. The record is from RNAcentral.
AUACGUAGGGGACGAGCGUUGUCCGGAAUUACUGGGCGUAAAGGGCGCGCAGGCGGAUAUUUAAGUCAGCUGUAAAAGGCAUGAGCUCAACUCAUGUAUGCGGUUGAAACUGGGUAUCUAGAGUGCUGGAGAGGUAGGCGGAAUUCCCGGUGUAGCGGGGAAAUGCUUAGAUAUCGGGAAGAACACCAGUGGCGAAGGCGGCUUACUGGCCAGCAUCUGACGCUGAGGCGCGAAAGCCAGGGGAGCGAACGGGAUUAGAUACCCCGGUAGUCCGUGCCGUAAACGAUGAAUGCUAGGUGUGGGUGUCGACAGGCAUCCGUGCCGUAGUUAACGCGAUAAGCAUUCCGCCUGGGGAGUACGAUCGCAAGAUUGAAACUCAAAUGAAUUGACGGGG